GAUGAACGCUGGCGGCGUGCCUAAUACAUGCAAGUCGAGCGAACGGACGAGAAGCUUGCUUCUCUGAUGUUAGCGGCGGACGGGUGAGUAACACGUGGAUAACCUACCUAUAAGACUGGGAUAACUUCAGGAAACCGGAGCUAAUACCGGAUAAUAUUUUGAACCGCAUGGUUCAAAAGUGAAAGACGGUCUUGCUGUCACUUAUAGAUGGAUCCGCGCUGCAUUAGCUAGUUGGUAAGGUAACGGCUUACCAAGGCAACGAUGCAUAGCCGACCUGAGAGGGUGAUCGGCCACACUGGAACUGAGACACGGUCCAGACUCCUACGGGAGGCAGCAGUAGGGAAUCUUCCGCAAUGGGCGAAAGCCUGACGGAGCAACGCCGCGUGAGUGAUGAAGGUCUUCGGAUCGUAAAACUCUGUUAUUAGGGAAGAACAUAUGUGUAAGUAACUGUGCACAUCUUGACGGUACCUAAGCAGAAAGCCACGGCUAACUACGU
Molecule: ribosomal RNA, 496 nt
Filed under: uncultured bacterium
Lineage: Bacteria
Description: partial 16S ribosomal RNA
Rfam family: Bacterial small subunit ribosomal RNA
Source: RNAcentral